AUUGAACGCUGGCGGCAUGCCUUACACAUGCAAGUCGAACGGUAACGGGCCUUCGGGUGCCGACGAGUGGCGAACGGGUGAGUAAUACAUCGGAACGUGCCCGAUCGUGGGGGAUAACGAGGCGAAAGCUUUGCUAAUACCGCAUACGAUCUACGGAUGAAAGCGGGGGACCGCAAGGCCUUGCGCGGACGGAGCGGCCGAUGGCAGAUUAGGUAGUUGGUGGGAUAAAAGCUUACCAAGCCGACGAUCUGUAGCUGGUCUGAGAGGAUGAUCAGCCACACUGGGACUGAGACACGGCCCAGACUCCUACGGGAGGCAGCAGUGGGGAAUUUUGGACAAUGGGCGCAAGCCUGAUCCAGCCAUGCCGCGUGCAGGAUGAAGGCCUUCGGGUUGUAAACUGCUUCUGUACGGAACGAAAAGCCUUCUUUUAAUACAGGAGGGUCAUGACGGUACCGUAAGAAUAAGCACCGGCUAACUACGUG
Molecule: ribosomal RNA, 482 nt
Filed under: uncultured bacterium
Lineage: Bacteria
Description: partial 16S ribosomal RNA
Rfam family: Bacterial small subunit ribosomal RNA
Source: RNAcentral